AUACGUAGGGGGCGAGCGUUGUCCGGAAUGAUUGGGCGUAAAGGGCGCGUAGGCGGCCCGGUAAGUCUGGAGUGAAAGUCCUGUUUUUAAGAUGGGAAUUGCUUUGGAUACUGUUGGGCUUGAGUGCAGGAGAGGUAAGUGGAAUUCCCAGUGUAGCGGUGAAAUGCGUAGAGAUUGGGAGGAACACCAGUGGCGAAGGCGACUUACUGGACUGUAACUGACGCUGAGGCGCGAAAGUGUGGGGAGCAAACAGGAGUAGAUACCCUGGUAGUCCACACUGUAAACGAUGAAUGCUAGGUGUAGGGGGUAUCGACCCCUUCUGUGCCGCAGUCAACACAAUAAGCAUUCCGCCUGGGGAGUACGGCCGCAAGGUUGAAACUCAAAUGAAUUGACGGGG
Molecule: ribosomal RNA, 397 nt
Filed under: uncultured bacterium
Lineage: Bacteria
Description: partial 16S ribosomal RNA
Rfam family: Bacterial small subunit ribosomal RNA
Source: RNAcentral